CAAUAGCGUAUAUUAAAGUUGUUGCGGUAAAAAAGCUCGUAGUUGGAUUUCUACCGAAGAUAGCCGGUCGGGUCUUCGACCUUGUAUCUGGUUUUGUCUUUGGUAUCCUCAUAGGGAACGUUUCUGCGCUUUAUUGCGUGGUGCGGUAUCUAUGACUUUUACUUUGAGGAAAUUAGAGUGUUCACGGCAGGCAAACGCCUUGAAUAUAUUAGCAUGGAAUAAUAACAUAGGAUCUUCGUCCUAUUUUGUUGGUUUCUAGGGCUAAGAUAAUGAUUAAUAGGGAUAAUUGGGGGCAUCUGUAUCAACGCGUCAGAGGUGGAAUUCUUGGAUUGCGUUGCGACAAACUACUGCGAAAGCAUUUGCCAAGGAUGUUUCCAUUGA
Molecule: ribosomal RNA, 381 nt
Filed under: uncultured eukaryote
Lineage: Eukaryota
Description: partial 18S ribosomal RNA
Rfam family: Eukaryotic small subunit ribosomal RNA
Source: RNAcentral